CAGGCCUAACACAUGCAAGUCGAGCGGGGAAGGGUAGCUUGCUACCUGACCUAGCGGCGGACGGGUGAGUAAUGCUUAGGAAUCUGCCUAUUAGUGGGGGACAACAUUCCGAAAGGGAUGCUAAUACCGCAUACGUCCUACGGGAGAAAGCAGGGGAUCUUCGGACCUUGCGCUAAUAGAUGAGCCUAAGUCGGAUUAGCUAGUUGGUGGGGUAAAGGCCUACCAAGGCGACGAUCUGUAGCGGGUCUGAGAGGAUGAUCCGCCACACUGGGACUGAGACACGGCCCAGACUCCUACGGGAGGCAGCAGUGGGGAAUAUUGGACAAUGGGCGCAAGCCUGAUCCAGCCAUGCCGCGUGUGUGAAGAAGGCCUUUUGGUUGUAAAGCACUUUAAGCGAGGAGGAGGCUACUUGGAUUAAUACUCUAGGAUAGUGGACGUUACUCGCAGAAUAAGCACCGGCUAACUCUGUGCCAGCAGCCGCGGUAAU
This 487-nucleotide ribosomal RNA is filed under the name uncultured bacterium. RNAcentral's name for it is "bacterial SSU rRNA". It matches the Rfam family "Bacterial small subunit ribosomal RNA", at positions 43 to 524 of the family's 1533-position model. The record is from RNAcentral.